This 818-nucleotide ribosomal RNA is filed under the name uncultured Campylobacter sp. RNAcentral's name for it is "bacterial SSU rRNA". It matches the Rfam family "Bacterial small subunit ribosomal RNA", at positions 557 to 1372 of the family's 1533-position model. Lineage: Bacteria; Pseudomonadati; Campylobacterota; Epsilonproteobacteria; Campylobacterales; Campylobacteraceae. The record is from RNAcentral.
GGCGUAAAGGGCGCGUAGGCGGAUUAUCAAGUCUCUUGUGAAAUCUAAUGGCUUAACCAUUAAACUGCUUGGGAAACUGAUAGUCUAGAGUGAGGGAGAGGCAGAUGGAAUUGGUGGUGUAGGGGUAAAAUCCGUAGAUAUCACCAAGAAUACCCAUUGCGAAGGCGAUCUGCUGGAACUCAACUGACGCUAAGGCGCGAAAGCGUGGGGAGCAAACAGGAUUAGAUACCCUGGUAGUCCACGCCCUAAACGAUGUACACUAGUUGUUGGGAUGCUAGUCAUCUCAGUAAUGCAGCUAACGCAUUAAGUGUACCGCCUGGGGAGUACGGUCGCAAGAUUAAAACUCAAAGGAAUAGACGGGGACCCGCACAAGCGGUGGAGCAUGUGGUUUAAUUCGAAGAUACGCGAAGAACCUUACCUGGGCUUGAUAUCCUAAGAACCUUUUAGAGAUAAGAGGGUGCUAGCUUGCUAGAACUUAGAGACAGGUGCUGCACGGCUGUCGUCAGCUCGUGUCGUGAGAUGUUGGGUUAAGUCCCGCAACGAGCGCAACCCACGUAUUUAGUUGCUAACGGUUCGGCCGAGCACUCUAAAUAGACUGCCUUCGUAAGGAGGAGGAAGGUGUGGACGACGUCAAGUCAUCAUGGCCCUUAUGCCCAGGGCGACACACGUGCUACAAUGGCAUAUACAAUGAGACGCAAUACCGCGAGGUGGAGCAAAUCUAUAAAAUAUGUCCCAGUUCGGAUUGUUCUCUGCAACUCGAGAGCAUGAAGCCGGAAUCGCUAGUAAUCGUAGAUCAGCCAUGCUACGGUGAAUACGUU